GUCCCACUGAAGGGACAUGAACAUGCGAUAUUUAUCCGGGGACUCCUGUUCUUCACUCUUAACUGCCUCGCAAUUUGUACCCGUCCAAUGUCCAGGCUGAACAUACUCCUAGAACAGAAGAGGCUCCUGCAUCACAGAGCUGAUUUUCCUAGCAGAGGGACCCAGACUAAGAAGAAAUCUCUUGGAUUUAAAGAACUUUUCAUCACUCUGUUCAACUACUUUCUGUACAACAAAGAGCUGGAUGUGGACCACUACCAACAAUAAGAGUUCCCCAUCUCACGAAUGUCCAAUAUGAAGGUCUGGCACCUUGCCUUCCAAUAUGGAAUAUACGUCUUGCUGGGACAAUCCCCUGGAAUCACAAAGAACUCCAGCAGCGGCUUGCACCCAUCCUCAUCCUCAGAGGAAUACUGGAAACCAGACUGCAGAAGCAGCAACAUGCUCCCUUCCAACAAGUCACACAGAGAAGGGAGUAUCAAAGCAGUAACUUCACCCACCAUGUGUUGCAUUACAGGAAACUUUAAUGUUCAGAAAUGCAUUUCCCUUUUAUUUAUUUUUUUUGGAGGAGGCGGCCAUAGGAAUUUCAAUUUACAGCCAUUGGUGAUCACUUCUAUUUGGAAUCAUUGGCAAAAGAGUGUAGUAGUGACUGAGAAUGGGUAGGAGACAAGAUUGGUCAUUCAAUGGGAGAGGAGUUCAAUUUUUCCAACAAAUCUUUGGGAGAUAAAGCUGAAUAAAAUGAAUUACUCUUCAGUGGUGACUGGAGAUAUGGCCAGAGUUCAUGGGACUGAUAUGAGCACAACCAGGACUAUAGAACUGUGGAUAUCAGGGGAAAUUUCUGAAAAAUGUUAUCCAAAACAUUUUCUAUUAUCAAGAUCCAGGAUUUUCUGUGUCUUAAAGGAAUCUAAAAGAUGGGAUCCAGAAGGCCGAAUCCAGGAGGCAGAAGGCAAAGGUUCUCUUUAUCAAAUUAGAAAGAAGAUACUUUCACAAAAUAUUUUUAAAGCCUGUUAAGUUUCUUUGCCAUCACAAAAAGAUGAAAUGGAAAGGGUAAAACUCCUCAGCUUCUUGAAGAACCCCACCACUACCCCUACAUUGUUGUUUUUAAUGAG
RNAcentral lists this long non-coding RNA (1103 nucleotides) under Equus caballus (horse). RNAcentral describes it as "lncRNA (ENSECAG00000035208.3)". The record is from RNAcentral. Lineage: Eukaryota; Metazoa; Chordata; Mammalia; Perissodactyla; Equidae.